This is a long non-coding RNA of Amphiprion ocellaris (clown anemonefish), 3101 nucleotides long. NCBI's taxonomy places the organism in Eukaryota, Metazoa, Chordata, Actinopteri, Pomacentridae. The record is from Ensembl.
AUUCACAUCCCUUUAUGGAUUCAGUUUCUCCCCACCAAGCCUUCUACCUCCUGUCAGCUUCAGCCCCUUGGACUCAACAGAUUCCCCCAUCCUGGAUUUCCCUCUCGUGGGCUCUGUGUAACUCCUGUCUGUUCUUAGAUACUCCCCAGUCUUCAGUCUUCAGUUUUGGUCCCCCCUAGCUUCUGGAUUCCCUGAGCCUGCCUAGCCCUUAGUUCUGUUUUCCCCUGGUUUCUGUUCCUGUUAAUUGUCACCAGCAUGUGGGACUUUCAUGAAGAAUUCCAGGACGAGUUGUCCUCUGAGGCACUCCUAUCCUCUGGCUUCACCAUGCUGGUGGGAUUUUCAUCAGAGCCAUUAAUGUUGGCAUCAGCAGCUUCAAGCACUUCAGAAAGUCCAGCUGCCAAGAGUUCUGUUUCUGUAACCCUGCUGGGUUAUUUUAGUCACAGCGGUGUUUAAGGAAGUUCAUCAGUGUGAUCAGCCACGACUAAAAGGUGAGUGAACUGUCAGAGUGGAAACAAACAGAAGUCUGUUCUGUGUGAAUUCAGAGCUCUGGACAGCUGGCUCAGGUUCAGGAUAGUGUUUUGUUUUUUUUUUGUUUUUUUUUUUUUAUCUUGCUAUCAGUGUAACCAUAAAACACCUUAAAAAGAUCCCGUUUCUCAACCUGUCCAGGUUGUAACCGGCCUCCUGUCAGAUUAGAUAGAUUUCAGCCUCAUGCGACGCUGUAUGAGAUAAAGUAGCUGAUGGUUGGAUAGAUUCACGGAAGAGCUGGUUUCUUCUGGAAUUCACCUUAGGUGUUUUUCCACGAACAGCACUAGUAAAAUGUGCCAGAUGAUGCUGUCCCAUGAGGCUGCUGGAGAGAGCUAAUGAGAGAAUAUUUCUCUGAGCUGAAGUCCUGUGAAUGGUGACAGCAGUUUCUGUUCAUUCCUUCCAAAAUCAGGAUAUCUGAGUGUCUGAGUCCUCUUUUAUAUUUGAUGGUUGAUAAGUUUUACACCUCCUUUAUCUUUUCUGCUUUUCUUAUCUGAAUCAUCACACACAUAAAGUUACAGUGUGUCAUCACAACCAACACACAGAAUCACUGUCAAGCCUUGUGCACAUUUUUGUCCUUUACUUUUAGGUCUUUAGAUCAUUUUGACUGUGCUACUGGGCAUAGAUUAUGGAAAAUGUCAGCCUCUGCUCUCGUAAUAUGCUGUGAACGGCAAAACAUUACACUUGGGGACCUGAAAGACAAGACUAUCCCCAUUGAAACUCAAUAAAACUUCUAUUUUUGUACAUGCAAAAAAAUAAUCUCUUCUCACUUAGUAUAUGGAAAUAUUUUAAUGUUUUUUUUUCAUAUUAAAAAAACCAAUAGUGGCAUUUAAAGGAUUAAAAUUCUAAAAGUGAAUAAAUAUUUGGUAGUUAUGAUCAAUACUGAUGCUGCUUAAAUAAUCAGACUUACUUAAAGUGGGAAUUAAUAUUGAUAUAUAAUGUUUUUAUGGCUGUGUUUAUGAUAUUGAGCUUUUUUUUUUUUUUUUUGUCCUCUCGGGUCCUGAGUGUGAGUUUUAUUAAAAAAUCUGACAAUUCAUAAAAAAUAUUAAUUCAUCAAAGUCUGUGUUGUGCUGGUGACUAUGAAAAUUUUAAAAAAGUGAAUUUUCCACUUAACGCUUCACUAAAAACAACUGUGACAGAAUGUGAACAAACUGGCAUUUCAAGGGUUAAACAGGACUGAUGGUUGCUAAAAAAAAAUUACUCAUUAAAUGUAGAAAAUAAUUUGAAUAUAUGACAUUUUAGGGCAUUUUUUUUAAAUGAAAAAUUAGUAAUUGAAAGUAGAAAAUGAUGGUAUUAUAUAACUAAAAAAGAAAUAAAAAUCAAAAUGUUGUUUAUCAUUGACACAUGCCCAAAUGUGACAAUCGAAUAAAAGUACUUUUCUCUCAGCACGCAUCUAGAAAAUAAAUCUUUUUUUUCAUAAGCAACAACUGCGGCAUCAUGUAAACAAACUGGCAUUUCAAGGGUUAAAUUUUGAAGCUGAAUGAGUCUUUGGUGAUUAGAAUCAGGACGCCUAGCUGUAAAAUAUGUCAGUGAAACACAGUGCGUCCAUUGUCAUGCUUUAAUUAUUCCGUGGAAGUGACAGGAAGUGAACUCUAUCACACCUGAGUCGGAGGAGUCGUCUGUCAUUAAAGCGUCUUCCAGAGAACCCGACAUGAUAACGCCAAAUAUCUGCACAACAAUCACAGCUUGUAUGUCAACUGCUGCCUUCCCCGCUGACUUUCCUAUGAAUUUCUGAACUAUUAUCUGUCUGGCUGCCAGACUGAGAGCUUCUGCAACAUGUAAUGAUUAACUGAUGAAAGUAGAGUCGGUUGUAUGUGAAUGACUGUAGUUAGGAGGUGUGAAAAUGCAGGUCCAGGCAGUUCUGUUCAGUUCAACUCCAAUAAAAACAUGCAACUCAAGUGUUUAAUGCUGCUGAAAUAAGUGCAGCUAUAACUGUGUUGGCAGCUUAAAUAUUCCUAUCCAUGAUCUGGAUUCAAAUAACAGUUUAAAAAAUUCUUCUUUAGUAAGUAUUCAUUUUGCAUAUAUUUACAAAUCAUUUUCUUUAGAGACACUUUAUUCUGCUUGUGAAACACAUUUAUUUUCUGCAGUAUUCAUAUGAGGCAGGAAAGUGAAAGUGAUGCAGAGCGACAUUUCUGAGGUGAUGGAGUCAAAACAAUAAUGCAGGGCUGUGCUUAUAAGGUGUAAAAUUACAGAGAAGACAUUAACUGCAGAUUGUAAAUUUGUAAAACCAUAAAUUUAAAAUCAUUUAUAGACCAUGACAAGUUGUUUGGAUCAGAAAGUAAAAUACUAGAUUGCUCAUUGUUCUGUUGUCAUUUUGUGUCUCAUUUUUAAAAAAUAUUUUGUCUUUUUUUGGUGUUUUUUGUCUUCUUUUGGUCUGACUUUUGUUGCUUGUCAUUUUGUUUCUCACUUUUGUCAUUUUGUGUCUUGUUUCUGUAAUAUUUUUUUCUUGUUUUUGUUGUUUUUUUUGUCUGACUUUUUCCAUUUUGAUCAUAAGGUAAAAUACUGUAUUGUUCAGUUCCAGAUGACUAAAUGUUUUGUGCGUUUGUAGACACUCUGUGAUCUCUAAAUUGUAAUGUGUA